AUUGGACGAAAUCAACGCCCAGGGUCCUAUUUUACCACGAAGCUUCCAGAAGACCGAAGAGGAGACGAAGUGGGGCCACGAGGUGGCCAGACUAUAGGGCGGCGCGGCCCAGGUCUUGGCCGCGCCGACCUGUAGUGUGGGCCCCUCGUGACGCCCCUCGACCUGCCCUUCCGCCUACAAAUAGCCUUCGUCGCGAAACCCCCAGUACCGAGAGCCACGAUACGGAAAACCUUCCAGAGACGCCGCCGCCGCCAAUCCCAUCUCGGGGGAUUCGGGAGAUCGCCUCCGGCACCUCGCCGGAGAGGGGAAUCAUCUCCCGGAGGACUCUACGCCGCCAUGGUCGCCUCCGGAGUGAUGUGUGAGUAGUCUACCCCUGGACUAUGGGUCCAUAGCAGUAGCUAGAUGGUUGUCUUCUCCCCAUUGUGCUUAAUUGUCGGGUCUUGUGAGCUGCCGAACAUGACCAAGAUCAUCUAUCUGUAAUUCUAUAUGUUGUGUUUGUUGGGAUCCGAUGAAUAGAGAAUACUAUGUUAUGUUGAUUAUCAA
Molecule: non-coding RNA, 543 nt
Organism: Lolium perenne
Lineage: Eukaryota; Viridiplantae; Streptophyta; Magnoliopsida; Poales; Poaceae
Source: RefSeq, a predicted model, not a curated record